CAACUCAUCCUCAAAUGAGUUGAGCAGAAUGCACCUCCUGGAUCUCCAACCCAUGCUCCUUGUCUUUAGGCAAGUGAGUGGAAUACGUCUUCUGGAUCUUCAAUACGCGCUCUUCAUUCACGGACGAGCCAAGUUAAACACAUAUCCUGGAUCUCCAAUGCAUGCUCCUCAUCUUUGGAUGAGCUAAGCGGAAUGCAUCUUUCGAACUCUCCAAUAUGCAUUUCUCAUCAUCGGACGAGCUGAGUGGAACGUGCCUCCUGGAUCUCCAAUGCAUGCUUCUUGUCUUCGGACGAGCUGAGUGGAAUACACCUCUCAGAUCUCUAAUGCAUGCUCCUCAUCUUCGGACAAGCUAAGCAGAAUGCAUCUCUCAGAUCUCCAACAUGCGCUCCUCAUCUUUGGACGAGUUGAGUGGAAUGCACCUCUCAGAUCUCCAACAUGUGUUUCUCAUCUUUGGAUGAGCUAAAUGAAAUGCAUCCCCCAGAUCUCCAACAUGCACUUCAUCUUAGGCUGAGCUAAGCAAAAUACAUCCCCCGGAUCUCCAACACAUGCUCCUCAUCUUCAAAUGAGCAGUGCCGAACAUGUCUUCCGGAUCUUCAAUAUGCACUCCUCAUCUUCGGAUGAGCUGAGCGGAAUACGUCUCCCGAAUCUCCAAUGUGCACUCAACAUCCACGGACGAGUUGAGCAAAAUGCAUCUCCCAAAUCUUCAAUGUAUGCUCCUCAUCCAUAAACGAGCUGAGUGAAAGGCAUCUUCCAAACUGUCCAAUGCGCAUUCCUCAUCUUUGGAGGAGCUAAAUGGAACAUACCUCCCGGAUCUUCAAUGUGUGCUCCUCAUCUUUGAACGAGUUGAGUAGAAUGUGCCUUUCGGAUCUCCAAUAUGCGCUCCUCAUCUUCGGAUGAGCUGAGCAGAACAUGCCUCCUAGAUCUCCAAUGCGUGCUCCUCAUCUUCAAAUGAGCUAAGCAGAAUGCAUCUCUCAAAUCUCCAAUAUGUGCUCCUUAUCCACGAACGAGCUGAGCAGAAUGUGCCUCCUAGAUCUCCAACACACGCUCCUUAUCUUCGGAUAAGCUGAGUGAAAUGCGUCUUUCGAACUCUCCAACGUAUGCUCCUUAUCCUCGAAUGAGCUGAGCAGAAUAUGUCUUCCGAAUG
This 1144-nucleotide long non-coding RNA is filed under the name Elaeis guineensis (African oil palm). RNAcentral's name for it is "long non-coding RNA (EGUI_LNC048816)". The record is from RNAcentral. Lineage: Eukaryota; Viridiplantae; Streptophyta; Magnoliopsida; Arecales; Arecaceae.